This is a long non-coding RNA of Hippocampus zosterae (dwarf seahorse), 797 nucleotides long. RefSeq lists it as uncharacterized. The transcript has 3 exons. Lineage: Eukaryota; Metazoa; Chordata; Actinopteri; Syngnathiformes; Syngnathidae. The record is from RefSeq and is a predicted model, not a curated record.
GCAAUGCAUAUAUGUGAAUGAUAAAAGUAAAUUGCACAUUUGUUGAAGGAAAUGUAAGGUGCUUCAUGAAGUAUUUUGUAAAAGAUACAUUCAUUAAAUGUGAACAUUUUCCAAAUGUUGUUGUGCUUCUUUAUACCAAAACAAAGGAAAGACACAUUGUUUUGGUUGUUUAUAGCAAAGUAUGGUAUCAUUUUAAUGGUCCGGCCCACUUGACAUCGACCGAGGCCGUAUGUGGCCCACCAUGUGAAAUGAGUUUGACACCAGUGAUGUAUAGUAAGGCGUUUUUAGCCGAAAAAAACAACCAUGUAUAAUAAGGCGUUUUUCAAUGAAAAAAAACAACCAUGGAUUGUAAGGUGUUUUUAGCCGAAAAAAACGACCAUGUAUACAAAGGCUUUUUUAGCCAAAAAAAAAGACCAUGUAUAGUAAGGCAUUUUUGGACAAAAUCUUUAGCCCAAAAAAACGACCAUGUAUAGUAAGGUGUUUUUAGCCGAAAAAAACGACCAUGUAUACAAAGGCCUUUUUAGCCGAAAAAAACGACCAUGUAUAGUAAGGCCUUUUUGGACAAAAAUUUCAGCCGAAAAAAACGACCAUGUAAGGUGUUUUUAGCCGAAAAAAAACAACCAUGUAUAGUAAGGCGUUUUUAGCCGAAAAAACCGACCUUGAAUAGUAAGGCGUUUUUGGACGAAAUUUUUAGCCGAAAAAAAUGACCAUGUACACUAAAGCGUUUUUAGCCGAAAAAAACGACCAUGUAUAGUAAGGCAUUUUUGGACAAAAUUUUUAGCCGAAAAAAAUGACGA